Amblyraja radiata (thorny skate) is the source of this 548-nucleotide long non-coding RNA. RefSeq lists it as uncharacterized. The record is from RefSeq and is a predicted model, not a curated record. Lineage: Eukaryota; Metazoa; Chordata; Chondrichthyes; Rajiformes; Rajidae. The transcript has 2 exons.
AUGUCACUGGUCCAGCCCUCUGGGACUGACUGCCAAAUCAAAUAGCCCUCGCCGGCUUGGCGCUGAGCGUGAGAAACCCGAGUUGGAGUUUGAACCGGGGAGCGCACGGACAAAAGCAAAGAUCAUGUCGGGCGUUAUCGGUGGGGUGCUUUGCCGCCGCUUGGCCAGGAAACAGAUUUUAAUGCAGAAGGCGAAUAUCUACGGAAAACCGCCGAAAGAGAAAAUCAGCCCUUUGGCGACUGUUGUGUGCUUAUCCGUUUUCGCAACGAGCCUUCUUGGACCAGCGGGCUGGAUUCUACAUCAUCUGCCGGAAUAUCGCAAAAAGUGAUGAGAAAGCACAAUGAAGCCCUUUGAUCGAGGUCCGAAUGCAUUCAGACCCCGCGGUUAUUUUUAGAAUCUGAAGCUGAAAAGACUCUGUAGGGAUAACAAUGCUGUAGUGUAAAUCUCAAUGAUCUCCUGCGCCUUGCGAUUUGAGCGAGGUGUCUUCCUUUGUGUUGUUUUUCGCGGUUUCUGUAUGUUAAAUAAAACCUCGCCAAGAGUUACUGCAA